UUCGCAUUUUUUCAUUUUAGUAUCAUGUGGUUUAAAGUCUAUCAAGUUAGUACCAUGUGGUUUCGCAUUUUCUCACUUUAGUACCCUGUGAUUUAAAGUGUAUCAAGUUAGUACUCUGUGGUUUUAUCUUUGUAUCAAGUUAGUACCCCGUGAUUUUAUUUUUCUCUUAAUGAAACAUUAAACCACGGGGUACUAAAGUGAGAAAGUGCGAAACCAAAGGGUACAAACUUGAUACACUAUAAAUCAUAGAAUACUAAAGUAAAAAAAAGUGAAAUCACAAGUGGGGUAUUUAAAGUUUUUUCUAUAAAAUAUUUAUAUUCAAGUUGUUAUCGAGCCGAACACGAACGAGCUGAUUCCAGCUCAUAUUCAACUCGUUUAUUAAACGAGCUGAAAAUUUUAGCUCAUGUUCGGCUCAUUUAGUAAACGAGCGAUUCAAUAUAUAUCGAGCC
Molecule: long non-coding RNA, 449 nt
Filed under: Ananas comosus (pineapple)
Lineage: Eukaryota; Viridiplantae; Streptophyta; Magnoliopsida; Poales; Bromeliaceae
Description: long non-coding RNA (ACOM_LNC004319)
Source: RNAcentral